CGCACAUUGCACCCUCUGGUAUUCCGGGGGGUAUGCCUGUUCGAGCGUCAUUACAACCCUCAAGCUCUGCUUGGUACUGGGCACCACCGGUCACGGUGUGCCUUAAAAUCAGUGGCGGUGCCACUCGGCUUCAAGCGUAGUAAUACUUCUCGCUUCUGGAGUCUGGGUGUGCGCCUGCCAUAACCUCAAUUUUAUCAAUGGUUGACCUCGGAUCAGGUAGGGAUACCCGCUGAACUUAA
This 239-nucleotide unclassified non-coding RNA is filed under the name Cadophora sp. Its description in RNAcentral is "partial contains 5.8S ribosomal RNA, internal transcribed spacer 2, and large subunit ribosomal RNA". Lineage: Eukaryota; Fungi; Ascomycota; Leotiomycetes; Helotiales; Ploettnerulaceae. The record is from RNAcentral.